This 343-nucleotide RNase P RNA is filed under the name bovine gut metagenome. RNAcentral describes it as "Bacterial RNase P class A". It matches the Rfam family "Bacterial RNase P class A", at positions 31 to 354 of the family's 367-position model. Rfam says of the family: Ribonuclease P (RNase P) is a ubiquitous endoribonuclease, found in archaea, bacteria and eukarya as well as chloroplasts and mitochondria. Its best characterised activity is the generation of mature 5'-ends of tRNAs by cleaving the 5'-leader elements of precursor-tRNAs. Cellular RNase Ps are ribonucleoproteins. The record is from RNAcentral.
AGAAAGGUCUUUGAGGAAAGUCCGGACUUUAAAGAGUGGGAUGCUGGUUAACGACCAGGUGGAGUAAUCCAACGGAAAGUGCAACAGAAAGUAAACCGCCUUCGGGUAAGGGUGAAACGGUGAGGUAAGAGCUCACCAGCGUUUUGGUGACAAGACGGCUCGGUAAACCCCAUCUAAAGCAAGACUAAACAACAAAUUUUAAUACUUGUUAUUAAAAACUAUCUACUCGAUAGAUUUGUGGGUAAGUCGCUACAGAUAUUCAGUAAUGGGUAUCGUAGAUAAAUAUCAACCUCCUAUCCUAGAAUCAUUUUUAGGUAGAGACAGAAUCCGGCUUAUAGCUAGA